This 468-nucleotide ribosomal RNA is filed under the name uncultured bacterium. Its description in RNAcentral is "partial 16S ribosomal RNA". It matches the Rfam family "Bacterial small subunit ribosomal RNA", at positions 28 to 507 of the family's 1533-position model. The record is from RNAcentral.
GACGAACGCUGGCGGCGUGCUUAACACAUGCAAGUCGAACGGAAAGGCCCUGCUUUUGUGGGGUGCUCGAGUGGCGAACGGGUGAGUAACACGUGAGUAACCUGCCCUUGACUUUGGGAUAACUUCAGGAAACUGGGGCUAAUACCGGACAUGAGCUCCUGCUGCAUGGUGUGGGUUGGAAAGUUUCGGCGGUUGGGGAUGGACUCGCGGCUUAUCAGCUUGUUGGUGGGGUAGUGGCUUACCAAGGCUUUGACGGGUAGCCGGCCUGAGAGGGUGACCGGCCACAUUAGGACUGAGAUACGGCCCAGACUCCUACGGGAGGCAGCAGUGAGGAAUAUUGCACAAUGGGCGGAAGCCUGAUGCAGCAACGCCGCGUGCGGGAUGACGGCCUUCGGGUUGUAAACCGCUUUCGCCUGUGACGAAGCGUGAGUGACGGUAAUGGGUAAAGAAGCACCGGCUAACUACGUG